GGAAUCUUCCACAAUGGACGAAAGUCUGAUGGAGCAACGCCGCGUGAGUGAGGAAGGGUUUCGGCUCGUAAAACUCUGUUGUUAAAGAAGAACAUAUCUGAGAGUAACUGUUCAGGUAUUGACGGUAUUUAACCAGAAAGCCACGGCUAACUACGUGCUAG
Molecule: ribosomal RNA, 161 nt
Filed under: uncultured bacterium
Lineage: Bacteria
Description: partial 16S rRNA
Rfam family: Bacterial small subunit ribosomal RNA
Source: RNAcentral